AGAUUGUAUCAAAGGACAGAAGGUAAGCACUUCCUUUGAUAAGUGUGAUCUGACACACUUAUGAUUAAGGCACUGCCACUUGCUUUGUGGCAUAUAACCUGUUUUG
RNAcentral lists this non-coding RNA (106 nucleotides) under Varanus komodoensis (Komodo dragon). The record is from RNAcentral. Lineage: Eukaryota; Metazoa; Chordata; Lepidosauria; Squamata; Varanidae.